UGGGGAAUAUUGCACAAUGGGGGAAACCCUGAUGCAGCAACGCCGCGUGAAGGAUGAAGGUUUUCGGAUUGUAAACUUCUUUUGUACGGGACGAAACAAAUGACGGUACCGUAAGAAUAAGCCACGGCUAACUACGUGCCAGCAGCCGCGGUAAUACGUAGGUGGCGAGCGUUAUCCGGAUUUACUGGGUGUAAAGGGCGAGUAGGCGGUUGUGUAAGUCAGAUGUGAAAUACCGGGGCUCAACUCCGGGGCUGCAUUUGAAACUACACAACUUGAGUGAUGGAGAGGCAAGUGGAAUUCCCGGUGUAGCGGUGGAAUGCGUAGAUAUCGGGAGGAACACCAGUGGCGAAGGCGACUUGCUGGACAUUAACUGACGCUGAGGAGCGAAAGCGUGGGGAGCAAACA
This is a ribosomal RNA of 405 nucleotides. It matches the Rfam family "Bacterial small subunit ribosomal RNA", at positions 355 to 774 of the family's 1533-position model.